This 2001-nucleotide ribosomal RNA is filed under the name Pleurehdera stellata. RNAcentral's name for it is "SSU rRNA". It matches the Rfam family "Eukaryotic small subunit ribosomal RNA". The record is from RNAcentral. Lineage: Eukaryota; Metazoa; Mollusca; Gastropoda; Pleurobranchida; Pleurobranchidae.
UUGUGUCAAAGAUUAAGCCAUGCACGUCUCUGUUCGCUCCUGGAUCGUCGGUGGUCCUUCAUGUACGAGUAAACCGCGAAUGGCUCAGUAGCUCAGUCUCGGUUCCUUAGAUGAUGCGGUUGAUCCCAACUGACCGGACAACUGUGGCAAUUCCAGAGCUAAUACGUGCAACUAAGCCCCGACCCCGACCGCCGUGGGGAAGGGGCGCUUUUAUUAGUUCAAAGCCAGCCCGGCCCCGGCCGGCAACUUUGAUAACUCUGGAUAACACUACCACGAUCGCCGGCUCAGCGCCGGGAGACGCAUCUUACAAAUGUCUGACCCAUCAGAUGUCGAUGGUAGGCUACAUGCUGACCAUGUCGUCGACGGGUGACGGGGAAUCAGGGUUCGAUUCCGGAGAGGGAGCACGAGACACGGCUACCACAUCCAAGGAAGGCAGCAGGCGCGCAAAUUACCCACUCCCGGCACGGGGAGGUAGUGACGAAAAAUACCGAUGCGGGACUCUUUCGAGGCCUCGUGAAUCGGAUUUAGUCUGACACAAACCCUCUCACAAGGGUCCAUUGGAGGGCAAGUCUGGUGCCAGCAGCCGCGGUAAUUCCAGCUCCAAUAGCGUAUAUUAAACUUGUUGCAGUUAAAAAGCUCGUAGUUGGCUCUCGGGUGCGGGCGGGCGGUCGUCGGCCAUCAGGUCGCGCUCUGCCGCCCGUUCUCGUUCGGUCGAUCCAAGCCCGGGUCGCGCGGUGCGGGACGGAGCCCCUGACCGAUGAGCAGCACCUAACCGGUGUUCUCGGUGGCCUUGGGGCUUCCCCCUCCGCGCCGAUCCGGGUCGGCCGUGCGUAAUCCGCACCCACCCAGACCGGCUUCCCUCCCGGGGUGUCCACUCCACUCAUCUCUGCUCUUUUUGCUCUGAGUGAGUGAGCGGCCUCCGGGUGGCCGGUCAAGUUUGCUUUGAGGAAAUUAGAGUGAUCAAAGCGGACAUGUCCAGGGCUCACGCCCGUCCUCAUACUGUCGCAUGGAAUAAUGGAAUAGGACCUCGGUUCUAUUUCGCUGGUCUUUCGGAACGUGAGGUAAUGAUUAAUAGGGACAAACGGGGGCAAACGUAUUGCGGGGGGAGAGGUGAAAUUCGUGGAUCCUCGCAAGACGACCAAAAGCGAAAGCAUUUGUCAAGAAUGUUUUCUUUAAUCAAGAACGAAAGUCAGAGGCGCGAAGACGAUCAGAUACCGUCGUAGUUCUGACCAUAAACUAUGCCACUACCGGGCCCGCGGGAGUUACUACCAGGACUUCGCGGGAACGGCCUGGGAAACCAAAAAUUUUUGGGUUCCGGGGGUAGUAUGGUUGCAAAGCUGAAACUUAAAGGAAUUGACGGAAGGGCACCACCAGGAGUGGAGCCUGCGGCUCAAUUUGACUCAACACGGGAAACCUCACCCGGGCCGGACAUCGCUAGGAUUGACAGAUUGAAAGCUCUUUCUCGAUUCGGUGGGUGGUGGUGCAUGGCCGUUCUUAGUUGGUGGAGUGAUUUGUCUGGUUGAUUCCGAUAACGAACGAGACUCUGGCCGAUUAAAUAGUCCGGCGGUCGAGCUCCCGUCCUGCCGCGCAGGGCGGGCGUCGCCGGAUUGACACUUCUUAGAGGGACGAACGGCGGGAAGCCGCACGAGAUUGAGCGAUAACAGGUCUGUGAUGCCCUUAGAUGUCCGGGGCCGCACGCGCGCUACAAUGGAGGCAUCAGCGUGGCCAACCUUGCCCGCGAGGGCUGGGAAACCACAUGAAACGCCUACCGUAGCUGGGACCGGGGUUUGCGAUUGUCCCCCGUGAACGAGGAAUUCCGAGUAAGCGCGAGUCAUGAGCUGGCGCUGACUACGUCCCUGCCCUUUGUACACACCGCCCGUCGCUACUGUCGAUUGAACGUUUGAGUGAGGGCCUCGGACCGGCUCGCGGCUCGUUCCGCUAGAGCCGGGAAGACGCUCGAACUCGGUCGUUUGGAGAAAGUAAAAGUCGUAACAAGGUUUC